GAUGAACGCUGGCGGCGUGCUUAACACAUGCAAGUCGAACGGUGAAGCCCUGCUUGCUGGGUGGAUUAGUGGCGAACGCGUGAGUAACACGUGAGUAACCUGCCCUUAACUCUGGGAUAAGACUGGAAAACAGGGUCUAAUACCGGAUAGAAGCGUCCACCCCACGGUGGGGGGUGGGAAGAUUUAUCGGUUUUGGAUGGACUCGCGGCCUAUCAGCUUGUUGGUGUGGUAAUGGCUCACCAAGGCGACGACGGGUAGCCGGCCUGAGAGGGUGACCGGCCACACUGGGACUGAGACACGGCCCAGACUCCUACGGGAGGCAGCAGUGGGGAAUAUUGCACAAUGGGCGGAAGCCUGAUGCAGCGACGCCGCGUGAGGGAUGACGGCCUUCGGGUUGUAAACCUCUUUCGGUAGGGAAGAAGCGAGAGUGACGGUACCUGCAAAAGAAGCACCGGCUAACUACGUG
This 466-nucleotide ribosomal RNA is filed under the name uncultured bacterium. Its description in RNAcentral is "partial 16S ribosomal RNA". It matches the Rfam family "Bacterial small subunit ribosomal RNA", at positions 28 to 507 of the family's 1533-position model. The record is from RNAcentral.